AGUGAACGCUGGCGGUAGGCCUAACACAUGCAAGUCGAACGGCAGCACAGUAAGAGCUUGCUCUUACGGGUGGCGAGUGGCGGACAGGUGAGGAAUACAUCGGAAUCUACUUUUUCGUGGGGGAUAACGUAGGGAAACUUACGCUAAUACCGCAUACGACCUACGGGUGAAAGCAGGGGAUCUUCGGACCUUGCGCGAUUGAAUGAGCCGAUGUCGGAUUAGCUAGUUGGCGGGGUAAAGGCCCACCAAGGCGACGAUCCGUAGCUGGUCUGAGAGGAUGGUCAGCCAGACUGGCACUGAGACACGGUCCAGACUCCGACGGGAGGCAGCAGUGGGGACUAUUGGACAAUGGACGAAAGCCUGAUCCAGCCAUACCGCGUGGGUGAAGAAGGCCUUCGGGUUGUAAAGCCCUUUUGUUGGGAAAGAAAAGCAGCAGGUUAAUACCCCGCUGUUCUGACGGUACCCAAAGAAUAAGCACCGGCUAACUUCGUG
Molecule: ribosomal RNA, 492 nt
Filed under: uncultured bacterium
Lineage: Bacteria
Description: partial 16S ribosomal RNA
Rfam family: Bacterial small subunit ribosomal RNA
Source: RNAcentral